AUCUAAAAUAGGACUCAUUCACUUAGUUCAUUAACUAUAAAUGCUUGGAACUACUAAAUCCUCUCCGUUGAGUCUUCCAAACCAGCCACAGCUCUGUGCAACAGUGGCGAAACCGACUAAAUACGUGCCUCUUUCGUAUGCCUCCUUGAAACAGGUCACGUUGCGAGAGACUGCGGAAGGCUAGGACGGGAUUAACGUAGGUAGUGUGAAAACAAUACCACAAACACUACGAGAGUCUGCGGUAGGUAGUACGGCAAUAACGUAGGUAGGGUGAAACAAUACAACAAGUCGGAGUGUACCUCGUUCUACCUAUCUAACACGGGCUAGGCACAGGAACAUCAGGUACGAUUUUGUUUUUUUUCUAAACCGAAGGACCCGCAACGACCUGCACCGGUUGACCCACAGAAAUAAACGAUCACAAUCGGCUAACUCAGGCACACAUUUAAACGCACGUGCGCAAGGCUAAACAUUAUUAACACACGUCAUCUUAGGUAUAGCACAUGAGAGAAAUAAACCACAUGAGAGAAAUAAACCGUCCAUAAGCACCAACAGAGCCUGUGUAUUAACUUUUCCGUACAAAUCCUCCGAACAGUCGGUACGCACCGUUUGUUUAAUAAACAUGGAUCGUUAUCAACAUACAUUGAAACUUUAGGAAAUUUAGAGUC
RNAcentral lists this ribosomal RNA (665 nucleotides) under Triticum aestivum (bread wheat). RNAcentral's name for it is "partial small subunit ribosomal RNA". The record is from RNAcentral. Lineage: Eukaryota; Viridiplantae; Streptophyta; Magnoliopsida; Poales; Poaceae.